Molecule: long non-coding RNA, 1969 nt
Filed under: Xyrichtys novacula (pearly razorfish)
Lineage: Eukaryota; Metazoa; Chordata; Actinopteri; Labriformes; Labridae
Source: RNAcentral
CUUUUACUGAAUCGUGACUGAGCAGUGGAUAAUUUUGAAAAAGACUUCACUUCACCUGGUUUUCAAGCACCUGGAUUUUACAAGAAGGAAACAACACCUGAGACCACCUAUUGAUCCUAGAUCUCUGAUGAAAAAUGGCUUCUGGCAGAUCCCGUCCGGUGGAGUGCCCCCUGACCCAGGUCAGGCGGUGGCACAGCAGUGUCACAAGUGAGACAGCUUCGAAAUUUCAUAUUAAAAUUCUCGUUUUACUCGUUAAAUGAUUUUUAGGAAAAGUUAUCGUCUAUCAAGUAGGAUUUAAGUGUUAAGGUCAACAGUUAAUAGAAGUUUAAUUAACCAGUUGUGAGAAUGGAGUUAUGGAUUUCACUUGAUGAUAUCUUCUUGACCAAAGGCCAUGUUUUAAUGUCAGAAAUGUUCAAAUUUGCAUGCAGAAAACAGUCAAUUUUAUUGACUGAGAUGUGCUGAGGUGAAAAACCUUUUAUUUGUUCAUGUAGGUAUGGUGUAAAGACUUCAACUUUCAAAGGUUACUGUCGAAAUUAAAUUAUUAAAGACGGCGCCUGGGCCACUUUUUUCGAAUGUUUACAAAACUUGAUUCUGUUUGUAACUUGGAGAUGUUGGAACUGUGAUAAGCGAGCCUCAAGUAGGUGGAAUGCGCAUGCAUGCCUUGCCAUUCAUGCCUUGGCUGUGAUAGUUAUGUUAUUUAAUGGUAUGAAGUCUGUUUAAAUAAUUAAUAGAUAUGUAUUAAAGUGUUGAGACUGAAUUGUAAUGCAGCCAUUGUGCGCAUUCCUCUCCUUCAUGCCUGUUUUUUAACUGAUAGAUUAGAAGUUUAAAGAAGAAAAGCUCUGUUUCCAAGAAGCAGACAUCUUUAUUAAGCUGCCCUAUGAACCUGGUUUAAAUAUAAUAAAUGCACACGAUUUUGAUAAAUUCCCAUAUUUUGCCGUUGAGACAGUGUUUAAUUGUGUGUUUGUUCGAUGUAUUUUGCCAUGGCUGUUAAACUUAAUUCAUAUAAUUAUAAUUUUAAAAUAAUGAAAAGUGUGUUUUUCGGAGAUUUACUGGUUCAUAGUGUGUUUUGAUGUCAAGUGAGGAGAUGAGAUCUGGAUUGGUGGAGCAGCCACUGUGUGCAUCUCCUCAACUCUUGCUCUUAUUAAUUAGAUGCACUAAAAAACAGGAUAUGAAAGAGAUCUGUGAUAGAUGCAAAAAGCAGGUGUGAUGAUUAGCAUGGGCUGUUUAAGUGAAUCUUGCAUGGUACAGUUCUGGUCAGAAUUAUGGGCAUGUGGAUCUGGAUUGAAACAGAAGACCGACAUUCUGUACAGUGAUCUGAAACUGUCGAUCCUGGCCUCCAUGGUUCACAAAUGGUGCUGCUGAUAUGCAGUCAGAGUCCAAAGUCUAAAAUCAGUGAUGCUGUCCUGAGGUUUCUAUUCCCUGCAGCAGAGCUGCUGUUUGCUGUCUGCUUUUAUUCUAAGUGUAAUAACUGUUGUCUUAACUACAGAUAUUGUAGAGUCUUUCCACUGAGACUAUACACCUGAGUUCUAAUAGGUGAAGAGUUACGACUCGUUCUGACAUGUGAUGUGACAAUAAAAACCAAGAUUCCAAUAUUCUUUCUUUGAGUACGGUGACCCAUUUCUUUCCAUUAAAACAAAGAAAGUUCACCUGCUGCCAUCCUGACAUGGUCAAAAAUCUGUAUAGCUCCACUCUUCACACCUGACUCACUACCUGGGCUUACUUAAAUACCCUUUUACGGUGCAAAGAACCAAGGAAUAGAAACAAGAAAUGAAACUAACAAAAGAAACUAAAUAAUGGCUCCAACAGUUAUUAUCGCUCAUAUGUGGUCAUUGUACUCCAACAGCAGAAUACCAUUCAUAAUUCUCUUAUGGAUGCACAGAUUUUGACAGUAUGAUACUUUUCUUCCCUCAAGUGGUGCCCCUCUUCCUCCUGCUGAUCGUCCUGACUGCCCUCCUUCACCUCCCACUGC